RNAcentral lists this long non-coding RNA (847 nucleotides) under Bos taurus (domestic cattle). Its description in RNAcentral is "long non-coding RNA NONBTAT019413". The record is from RNAcentral. Lineage: Eukaryota; Metazoa; Chordata; Mammalia; Artiodactyla; Bovidae.
AUAAAAUUGAAAUCCUAUUUUAUAGAUAAGGAUGUUAGCAGUUUAGGUUUAAAUAAAAAAAAAAGUUAGUCCAGCUUCUUCAGCAGUUUAGUUUUACAUAUCUCAUCAUAUCAACCUGUUGCAGAAGAGUAAGGCUUCCAUUCUUUUAGUAGGAGUAUUAUUGAACUUAGGGAAUAGUCUGUGUCUCUUGAGUUUAAUUUUUUUUCUGAAAUAAUAUGUGUCCAAUUUUAAUACUUUUUUGUUCUCCCCAUCUAUUUAUUUAAGCAGAGAAUUUGUAAAACUUCAGAAAAUGUUCAAAUUUUUAUAUUUGAGAUUCUUUCCCUGAAGGGUGCUCAUUUGCUCAAUCUAAGCUAGAAGGUGGGAUUUUUAAAGGGAACAGUACAACCAGUUGUACCCAGGAUGCCUAACUGUACUUCUACAGAUUUGCCAUAGUUACUACUUAUAAUUUGUAGCAUUCCUAAAAUGAGUAUAAAGAGUCUUGGGAUCUGAAAGACUAUCAAGGGUAACAUUUAGAGAUAAGAGUCAUUUUUUUUAAAUACAGAUAAACUUUGUUUAUGGACUUAAUUUUGUAAAUGAAGUUACGUCCUUAUGGUAUAGUGUGUAGUAUACAAGUGUAAAAAUGGCCUUGAGUAAUCAGCAUAAGUUUUUUAGAGCUUGUAAAUACUGUGAAAAUCUGUUGAUAACAUCAGUGGGUGCUCAGUCAUCAUGUAACUAACCCUGAGACCCCCUCUCCUAAGCUGAGUGAGUUAAUAGUUACUAUUCACACAUCGUAAACAGUUUAGUAGGAUAGACGUGAAGAUGAGAAAAUGGUAAUGAUUGGAUGGGAAAUCAGUAAACACUGUAAAAA